Molecule: ribosomal RNA, 510 nt
Filed under: Guibemantis kathrinae
Lineage: Eukaryota; Metazoa; Chordata; Amphibia; Anura; Mantellidae
Description: partial 16S ribosomal RNA
Rfam family: Bacterial large subunit ribosomal RNA
Source: RNAcentral
GACAAGUUCAACGGCCGCGGUACCCUAACCGUGCGAAGGUAGCAUAAUCACUUGUUCUUUAAAUGAGGACUUGUAUCAAUGGCAUCACGAGGGUUAAUCUGUCUCCUUUCUCAAAUCAAUGAAACUAAUCUCUCCGUGAAGAAGCGGAGAUAAACUUAUAAGACGAGAAGACCCCAUGGAGCUUUAAACCCAGCUACACCCUGUUUAAUUAUACUUUUUAAUCUUUAAGGCCCUGUACUACUGGUUUUAGGUUGGGGUGACCGCGGAGCACAAACUAGCCUCCAUAAUGAAUAGACCUUAUCUUUAUCCAUGAGCCACAUCUCUAAGAAUUAGAAUUCUAACAUAAAAUGAUCCGAUAUUCGAUCAACGAACCAAGUUACCCUGGGGAUAACAGCGCAAUCCACUUCAAGAGCCCCUAUCGACAAGUGGGUUUACGACCUCGAUGUUGGAUCAGGGUAUCCCAGUGGUGCAGCAACUACUAAAGGUUCGUUUGUUCAACGAUUAAAACCC